CCCAGCUACAGGUACCACCACCAGGUCACUCCCCCCAGCUACAGGUACCACCACCAGGUCACUCCCCCCAGCUACAGGUACCACCACCAGGUCACUCCCCCCAGCUACAGGUACCACCACCAGGUCACUCCCCCCAGCUACAGGUACCACCACCAGGUCACUCCCCCCAGCUACAGGUACCACC
Molecule: long non-coding RNA, 184 nt
Organism: Oncorhynchus keta (chum salmon)
Lineage: Eukaryota; Metazoa; Chordata; Actinopteri; Salmoniformes; Salmonidae
Exons: 3
Source: RefSeq, a predicted model, not a curated record